This 464-nucleotide ribosomal RNA is filed under the name uncultured bacterium. Its description in RNAcentral is "bacterial SSU rRNA". It matches the Rfam family "Bacterial small subunit ribosomal RNA", at positions 28 to 507 of the family's 1533-position model. The record is from RNAcentral.
GACGAACGCUGGCGGCGUGCUUAACACAUGCAAGUCGAGCGAACAAAGCUCCUUCGGGAGUGGAGUUAGCGGCGGACGGGUGAGUAACACGUGGGUAACCUGCCUUAUAGAGGGGGAUAGCCUUCCGAAAGGAAGAUUAAUACCGCAUAAGAAGUAGAAGUCGCAUGGUGCAGGGGUCAAAGAUUAAUCGCUGAGAGGUGGGCUCGCGUCUGAUUAGAUAGUUGGUGGGGUAACGGCCUACCAAGUCGACGAUCAGUAGCCGACCUGAGAGGGUGAUCGGCCACAUUGGGACUGAGACACGGCCCAAACUCCUACGGGAGGCAGCAGUGGGGAAUAUUGGGCAAUGGGGGGAACCCUGACCCAGCAACGCCGCGUGGAGGAAGAAGGUUUUCGGAUCGUAAACUCCUGUCCUCAGGGAAGAGCAGAAGACGGUACCUGAGGAGGAAGCCCCGGCUAACUACGUG